RNAcentral lists this ribosomal RNA (376 nucleotides) under uncultured bacterium. RNAcentral describes it as "bacterial SSU rRNA". It matches the Rfam family "Bacterial small subunit ribosomal RNA", at positions 524 to 898 of the family's 1533-position model. The record is from RNAcentral.
AACGUAGGAGACGAGCGUUAUCCGGAUUUACUGGGCGUAAAGCGCGUGUAGGAGGCGCUACAAGUUGGAUGUGAAAGCUCCCGGCUUAACUGGGAGAGGUCGUUCAAGACUGUAGAGCUAGAGUAAGGCAGAGGUAGAUGGAACUCCGGGAGUAGUGGUGAAAUGCGUAGAUAUCCGGAAGAACACCAGAGGCGAAAGCGAUCUACUGGGCCUAAACUGACACUGAGACGCGAAAGCCAGGGUAGCGAACGGGAUUAGAGACCCCGGUAGUCCUGGCCGUAAACGAUGUAGACUGAGCGUUGGUUGGGUAAAACCAAUCAGUGCUGAAGCAAACGCGAUAAGUCUACCGCCUGGGGAGUACGGUCGCAAGAUUAAA